AAACCAUGGUGUGGGCAAUCCUAUUGGUAGUCUCUAAAUCUUUCUCAGGCGUCAUUGAGGUCUUCUAUGUCCUCCUGCUGAAAAUUUUGGAUCUUGUCCCUUAAGAGAUU
Small nucleolar RNA from Eutrema salsugineum, 110 nucleotides. It matches the Rfam family "Plant small nucleolar RNA R71". From Rfam's summary of the family: R71 is a member of the C/D box family of snoRNAs containing the C (UGAUGA) and D (CUGA) box motifs. Multiple nearly identical copies of this snoRNA have been identified in Arabidopsis, and it is thought to function as a 2'-O-ribose methylation guide for 18S ribosomal RNA. NCBI's taxonomy places the organism in Eukaryota, Viridiplantae, Streptophyta, Magnoliopsida, Brassicales, Brassicaceae. The record is from Rfam.